This 253-nucleotide ribosomal RNA is filed under the name uncultured bacterium. Its description in RNAcentral is "partial 16S ribosomal RNA". It matches the Rfam family "Bacterial small subunit ribosomal RNA", at positions 524 to 776 of the family's 1533-position model. The record is from RNAcentral.
UACGUAGGGGGCGAGCGUUGUCCGGAAUCAUUGGGCGUAAAGCGCGUGUAGGCGGCCCGAUAAGUCCGCCGUGAAAGUCCAGGGCUCAACCCUGGAAUGCCGGUGGAAACUGUCGGGCUGGAGUCCGGAAGAGGCGAGUGGAAUUCCUGGUGUAGCGGUGAAAUGCGCAGAUAUCAGGAGGAACACCAAUGGCGAAGGCAGCUCGCUGGGACGGUACUGACGCUGAGACGCGAAAGCGUGGGGAGCGAACAGG